GCAGCAGCCGCGGUAAUACGUAGGGUGCGAGCGUUAAUCGGAAUUACUGGGCGUAAAGCGUGCGCAGGCGGUUAUAUAAGACAGAUGUGAAAUCCCCGGGCUCAACCUGGGGCCUGCAUUUGUGGCUGUAUAGCUAGAGUACGGUAGAGGGGGAUGGAAUUCCGCGUGUAGCAGUGAAAUGCGUAGAUAUGCGGAGGAACACCGAUGGCGAAGGCAAUCCCCUGGACCUGUACUGACGCUCAUGCACGAAAGCGUGGGGAGCAAACAGGAUUAGAUACCCGCGUAGUCCCUGUCUCUUAUAC
This 302-nucleotide ribosomal RNA is filed under the name uncultured bacterium. Its description in RNAcentral is "partial 16S ribosomal RNA". It matches the Rfam family "Bacterial small subunit ribosomal RNA", at positions 508 to 807 of the family's 1533-position model. The record is from RNAcentral.